RNAcentral lists this small nucleolar RNA (121 nucleotides) under Echinops telfairi (small Madagascar hedgehog). Its description in RNAcentral is "Small nucleolar RNA SNORA61 (ENSETEG00000026761.1)". Lineage: Eukaryota; Metazoa; Chordata; Mammalia; Afrosoricida; Tenrecidae. The record is from RNAcentral.
ACCCUUCAUAUUUCUUAUCUCUCAAAUCUCAUGAAUGAUUUGGAUGGCUUAAAAAGGAGGAAAAGUGAAACGGAGGGAGAGCUGGAAUUGUUAGUGGCAUGCACGUUCAUUUUAAACAUAU